This 61-nucleotide transfer RNA is filed under the name Oxyloma wujiaquensis. Its description in RNAcentral is "tRNA-Gln". Lineage: Eukaryota; Metazoa; Mollusca; Gastropoda; Stylommatophora; Succineidae. The record is from RNAcentral.
UUUCUUUUGGUGUAAUGCACCGGAAAAUUUGAAUUUCCAAGAAAAUAAUUUUUAAAGAAAA